Long non-coding RNA from Gadus morhua (Atlantic cod), 260 nucleotides. RefSeq lists it as uncharacterized. Lineage: Eukaryota; Metazoa; Chordata; Actinopteri; Gadiformes; Gadidae. The transcript has 3 exons. The record is from RefSeq and is a predicted model, not a curated record.
CAUAUACUUACCAGCGCAUUUGUCAACGCUUUGGACCAUUGUGAAGCUUGCAAUGGACCUGUCUCCGCUCUAAGAUGGCUUGGUUACACAUGCAAAUUGUGUUCAAGGUCGUGGCACAAAUCUUGCUUUAUCAAGAUGAAUCCGUUGCAGGAUGUUGAUGAGCAUGUUUCCGACUCUGCAAGUAGUCACGGCACUUCCUCCGGUGAUCUCUUUCACAUUGACACUGAAUCAAGUUGUGAUGGAAAUAGUGAUAGUGAGGA